GACGAACGCUGGCGGCGUGCUUAACACAUGCAAGUCGAACGGAAAGGCCCUGCUUUUGUGGGGUGCUCGAGUGGCGAACGGGUGAGUAACACGUGAGUAACCUGCCCUUGACUUUGGGAUAACUUCAGGAAACUGGGGCUAAUACCGGAUAGGAGCUCCUGCUGCAUGGUUGGGGUUGGAAAGUUUCGGCGGUUGGGGAUGGACUCGCGGCUUAUCAGCUUGUUGGUGGGGUAGUGGCUUACCAAGGCUUUGACGGGUAGCCGGCCUGAGAGGGUGACCGGCCACAUUGGGACUGGGAUACGGCCCAGACUCCUACGGGAGGCAGCAGUGGGGAAUAUUGCACGAUGGGCGGAAGCCUGAUGCAGCAACGCCGCGUGCGGGAUGACGGCCUUCGGGUUGUAAACCGCUUUCGCCUGUGACGAAGCGUGAGUGACGGUAAUGGGUAAAGAAGCACCGGCUAACUACGUG
Molecule: ribosomal RNA, 468 nt
Filed under: uncultured bacterium
Lineage: Bacteria
Description: partial 16S ribosomal RNA
Rfam family: Bacterial small subunit ribosomal RNA
Source: RNAcentral